Molecule: ribosomal RNA, 225 nt
Filed under: uncultured prokaryote
Description: partial 16S ribosomal RNA
Rfam family: Bacterial small subunit ribosomal RNA
Source: RNAcentral
ACGUAGGGUGCGAGCGUUAAUCGGAAUAACUGGGCGUAAAGCGCGUGCAGGCGGUUCGCUAAGACAGGUGUGAAAUCCCCGGGCUCAACCUGGGAAUGGCGUUUGAGACUGGCGGACUAGAGUACGGCAGAGGGGGGUAGAAUUCCAGGUGUAGCGGUGAAAUGCGUAGAGAUGUGAAGGAAUACCAAUGGCGAAGGCAGCCCCCUGGGCAGAUACUGACACUCA